GUGUCGUCUCUCUCUCUCUCUCUCUCUCUCUCUCUCUCUCUCUCUCUCUCUCUCUCUCUCUCUCUCGGUUUUGUUACAAUGGAGGAGACAGAAGUCACAGAACUCCCUUGACCUAGACGUGUACUAAGCUUAACGUAAUUAAUUACUCACCACUUUCAACUAACACCCAAGUACUUGUACUAGUUUGUAUCUUGCUUCUGAUCGAGGACACAUAGCAUUUCUUUCCGUACUUUUUCUUUUGGGAUCGUAGUUAGUGAUUCGCAUGCAGGAGUUAUGAGAAGCUCGAUGCAUGCAAUCGUCAAUUAUCAAAUAAUCAACGGGCAAGCAUUAAUUUAUAGCAUUUAUGUAUAAGCAAGCAAUGAUAAAGGAAUUAUUGACCUAAAAUCCAAUUCUAGUAUUCUACCACAUGCGCAAUGCAUGCAAGCAUGCAACCAUUCAAGCUUGAAAAUAAAAAAUGAAAUAACAGUAACAUCCUACUCGAGGUCUUAGUCAGUUCCAAUCAGUUCUAUUGUCUGUUCCUAUCGGUUCCUAGUCGGUAUCAUCGGUUUCUGGUCGGUUCUGAUUGGUUGGUUGCUGGUAAUAUCGGUUCUUGGCCCGAUUACAUACCUUUCUUCAUGGAGGCACGUCGCUUCUUGGUCGGUACCCUGGAUUCUGCCUUUACUAUUCCCUCUUGUUAGAUCGACUUGUGCCCCUGCAUUCUUUGGUUCACAUCAGUUUCUGAUCGGUUCAUCAUCGGUCUUUAUCGGUUUCUAGUUGGUUCUAUAUCGGUUUUCAUCCAGCAAUUUCUUCAAAGCUUCGGUAGCUAGCGCUGCUUAUAUCUCCUUCAAGAAUUCAAACUCAAGUGUUCACAAUCCAGCAAGCAGCAAGAAAGCUUCGGCCACAGACGAUACCAGAGCUUGCUGACAUCCAUUUCCUAGUACCUGUAUCUCUCUCAGUUGUGUUUAAACUUGGCAGUGAAGUCUCUGAAAUCCUUGUUUAAAUUUUGUUCCCAUAUCCUCCUAUGUACCCUAACCCGCUAACCGGGCCAGCUUGCAGCUUCCUUUCCUUCCUUCGAUUCAACACUUGAACGCACUCUAGUGUAUCAACAGUGUCACAUCCCGACCCUUAUAUUUUUACCUUAUUUACUAGCGUGAUUAUAAUAAGAAUUUUACCGUCUCGAUCAUUGAGUAAAUAGUUUAAUUGGUCCCUAGAGGGGUUUCGGGGACGAUUAUGUGCGGAGGAUUAUUCGUAUGAUGAAAAUACGACGACGGUAAAAAUAGUAAAUUUUAGCUAGUAAACGGUAAUUUUUAUUCGGGUAUUAUUUUUCGGGGUGUUGAAUUUUGGAAUUAUGGGUUAAAAGGGGUGUUGGGUCGGCUGGGCCGAGCCCAACCCAUUUCUUCUUCUUUCUCUUCUCCCUCCCUCCCGAUUUUUCUUCUCUUCUCACCCGGUUUUCCCCUCUCUACACCUAGCAGAAUUCCGGCCGUCCUCCCGCCGCCGUCCGACCUCCGUUCGCCGCCGGACCGGUCCCGUUCGGUCGGUCUCCCUCCCAGCAACAUUUCUAGACCGGUGAGAGGAGCCCUAGCGCCGCCGUGAGAGAGCGGUGCCGCCCGAAAGCAAGGGCUGCCCCGAGCUUCCCUUCGCCGGAACUUCCUCCUCCGGCCACCAAUCCGGGCAAGCUUGGUAUGGUUUUGUAGCCCUCCAACCCAGCAACCUUGNNNNN
This 1699-nucleotide long non-coding RNA is filed under the name Fragaria vesca (wild strawberry). RNAcentral describes it as "long non-coding RNA (FVES_LNC003730)". The record is from RNAcentral. Lineage: Eukaryota; Viridiplantae; Streptophyta; Magnoliopsida; Rosales; Rosaceae.